AUUGAACGCUGGCGGCAGGCCUAACACAUGCAAGUCGAACGAGUGGCGGACGGGUGUGUAAUGUCUGGGAAACUGCCCGCUGGCGGGGGAUAAUUACUGGAAACGGUAGCUAAUACCGCAUACCAUCGGAUGUGCCCAGAGGGGCUUUGCAACGAGGUGGGGUAACGGCCCACCUAGGCGACGAUCCCUAGCUGGUCUGAGAGGAUGGCCAGCCACGCUGGAACUGAGACACGGUCCGGACUCCUACGGGAGGCAGCAGUGGGGAAUAUUGCACAAUGGACGCAAGCCUGAUGCAGCCAUGCCGCGUGUAUGAAGAAGGCCUUCGGGUUGUAAAGUACUUUCAGCGAGGAGGCGUUACUCGCAGAAGAAGCAUCGGCUAACUCCGUGCCAGCAGCCGCGGUAAUUC
RNAcentral lists this ribosomal RNA (406 nucleotides) under uncultured bacterium. RNAcentral's name for it is "partial 16S ribosomal RNA". It matches the Rfam family "Bacterial small subunit ribosomal RNA", at positions 30 to 526 of the family's 1533-position model. The record is from RNAcentral.